UAGUCGCUGGCGGUAUGCCUUACACUUGCACGUCGUAACAAGGUAACCGUAAGUCGUCUGAGGUAUCCGUAAAGGGUGAGUAAUACAUCGGAACGUGCCCGAUCGUGGGGGAUAACGAGGCGAAAGCUUUGCUAAUACCGCAUACGAUCUACGGAUGAAAGCGGGGGAUCUUCGGACCUCGCGCGGACGGAGCGGCCGAUGGCAGAUUAGGUAGUUGGUGGGAUAAAAGCUUACCAAGCCGACGAUCUGUAGCUGGUCUGAGAGGAUGAUCAGCCACACUGGGACUGAGACACGGCCCAGACUCCUACGGGAGGCAGCAGUGGGGAAUUUUGGACAAUGGGCGAAAGCCUGAUCCAGCCAUGCCGCGUGCAGGAUGAAGGCCUUCGGGUUGUAAACUGCUUUUGUACGGAACGAAAAGCCUCUUUCUAAUAAAGAGGGGUCAUGACGGUACCGUAAGAAUAAGCACCGGCUAACUACGUGCCAGCAGCCGCGGUAAUACGUAGGGUGCAAGCGUUAAUCGGAAUUACUGGGCGUAAAGCGUGCGCAGGCGGUUUUGUAAGACAGAGGUGAAAUCCCCGGGCUCAACCUGGGAACUGCCUUUGUGACUGCAAGGCU
This 615-nucleotide ribosomal RNA is filed under the name Diaphorobacter nitroreducens. RNAcentral's name for it is "bacterial SSU rRNA". It matches the Rfam family "Bacterial small subunit ribosomal RNA", at positions 30 to 642 of the family's 1533-position model. Lineage: Bacteria; Pseudomonadati; Pseudomonadota; Betaproteobacteria; Burkholderiales; Comamonadaceae. The record is from RNAcentral.